CUUGGUAACUCUGUGUAUCAGUUACUGCUUAAUUAGUAACAUAGAAUCACCAUAAGUAUUAGAGAAUAGGAAGUAUACCUUACCCAAUUGUGAGUGGACCUGGGGAACAAAACAUCCAAAAAGGAUCAGAGAAAAGGCAUUCGCACAGGUGAAUCAGUGUCGGGUAGGUGCAGGGUUGGAGCCUGCAGGAAGCUAGGCAUGUCCAGCCACUGGAGUGGACUGUGAAGAGGCUGGUGUAGAAGUCUAUGAAAGAUUGCUGGCUCUUUGUAGGUAUUGCUUCUGUGAGAUUUCAGUGAAGCAUCUGGUGCUAGGCCUGGAGUGGCUGUUGGACCCCAGUCAGGAGGAAGACCAGGACUUGGGUUGGAGAAAACCAGAAGAGACAGAUGAAGCUCCCUCUUAAGAUGCAUUUGACUCAGAUUGAAUUAUACCACCAGCUUUCCUUGUUCUCCAGCUUGCAGACAGCAGAACUUGGGACUUCUUGCCCUUCACAACUGCAUUUGUCACCAUGGAGCAUGGCUCUGAUCCCACCACUUCCCUGCUCUGGACUCCCCAGGACUUUUGGAUAAAAAUUACACUUGGUGCAGUGAAAUGAUCACACUAUGCGAGACACCUGGAAGCUGAAACCAACUGAGAGAACAUCAGUUUCAGGACACCCAGCUUAUACUCACUCUGCGGAGUUGUGUGAAGCCCUGAGAGACAGACACUGUGUACUGCAAGGAAACAUCAGACGCCAGAAGAGAAAACAGGAGAGCUGCCACGAAAAGGAUGGCAAAUCUGGGCUGCCUUUUGCAACAUCUGUUGGGAGUCGACAAACUGCCUGGUGAUGGGCAGCCUGGAUUAUACUGAUCAGCUGCAGUGCCAGCUCCUGACCAUGGGGAGAUUGGUUUCCAGGUCUGCUGGGCUGGUGCCGAGAACAUAGAAAAUUCUUGGAGCAGGAGAAGGCAAAUAGUUUUGGAUGUGCUUGGCA
This 967-nucleotide long non-coding RNA is filed under the name Equus caballus (horse). RNAcentral describes it as "lncRNA (ENSECAG00000036592.3)". The record is from RNAcentral. Lineage: Eukaryota; Metazoa; Chordata; Mammalia; Perissodactyla; Equidae.